Long non-coding RNA from Manihot esculenta (cassava), 1390 nucleotides. RefSeq lists it as uncharacterized. NCBI's taxonomy places the organism in Eukaryota, Viridiplantae, Streptophyta, Magnoliopsida, Malpighiales, Euphorbiaceae. The record is from RefSeq and is a predicted model, not a curated record. The transcript is spliced from 3 exons.
GAAUUGCUUUUUAUUCUUUUCACCCUCCCGCAAGAUGAAGGCAACAAAAACAUCAGGAGUCUCGUCUUGGAAAGUAAGCGAUGGAAAUUGCUAGAAUCGAGGGGUUUUGUGAAGAGAUCUACGACUUGCUGUUAUGAAGGAACAUGGCAAGUGAUGAUGAAACUUUUGGAGAUUUGAUUACGAACGACAUGGUAGUCGAUCUCCAAGUGUUUCGUUCAUUUGUGGAACACUGGAUUUGAGGUGAUGUGUAAGGCGGCCUUGUUGUCGCAGUGAAGAGGGAUAGGAAAAGCGAGAUCUAUCUGAAAUCCUUGUAAAAGAAAAUCAAGGAUGAACCCAGGAAAAUACAGAGCCCAUUAAGUGAUUUUCGAGAAGUAGGACAAGCGGCCCAGUCUGAGUCGCAGUAAGCAGAGAGUUGAAGGGUUGUGUUUGCUAGAAAGUGAAGACCUUUAUGUGGGCUUCCUUUAAGGUACCAGAUAACUUGCAAAGCGGCAUCCACAUGGGUUUUCUAAGUACUUGCAUGUACUGGAUAAGUUGUUGGGUGGAGUAGGUGAUGUAUGGCCGAGUGAGUGCGAGGUACAAAAGGCAUCCUACUAGCCUCCAAUGCUGCUUUAGAUUAGGAACAUCCCUUCAUCUGAUCCUGCAAUUUCGAGCCCUAUAAAGUACUAUACAUGUCCGAAAUCCUUUAUCAUGACGACACUAUGCAGAUAAGUCUUUACAUCUUGAAUUUGUUGUGCAUUAGUGCCAAUAAUUAGCAUAUCACCAAUAUAGAAAAUUAGAGCCAAAAAGUUAGCACCGAAUCCUUUUGUAAAGAGACAAUGGUCAGUUUAAUACUGUUUAAAACCGUAGGAACACAUUUUAGAGGCCAAUUCAAUAUUCCAUUGUCUUCCAGCUUGUUUGAGACUAUAUAGACUUUUCACAAGUUUGCACACUUGCCCUUUGGGUACUGUGUAACCUUUAGGAGCUUGCAUGUAUAGAUCCUCUUCUAUAUGUCCAUGGAGAUAGGCUUUGUUUAUAUCUAGUUGAUGUACUUGCCAUAUUUUAGUUGCUGCUAUGGCUAAAAAAACUCUUACUGUUACCAGUUUGGCAACAAGGGAGAAACUUUCAUGAUAGUCAACCCCAGGUAAUUGGCUGUAUCUUUUUGUCACCAACCUUACUUUGUAUUUGUCUAUAAUGCCAUAUGAGUUGUAUUUGACUCUAAAAACCCAAUUAGAUGCAAUAGCUUUCUUUGCUUUAGGCAGAUUAGUCAGAAUCCAUGUAUUAUUAUUUUUUAAUGCAUCUAACUCACUUUGCAUAACAUUUACCUAAUUACUGUUCUGUCUAGCUUCAAAAUAAGAUCUAGGUUUUGUUACAAUAGACAAAGCAGCCAUAAAAUUAAUAUGUUUAUGAUUAA